CGGGACCGCACAAGCGGUGGAUGAUGUGGAUUAAUUCGAUGCAACGCGAAAACCUUACCUACCCUUGACAUGUCCGGAAUCCCGAAGAGAUUUGGGAGUGCUCGCAAGAGAGCCGGAACACAGGUGCUGCAUGGCUGUCGUCAGCUCGUGUCGUGAGAUGUUGGGUUAAGUCCCGCAACGAGCGCAACCCUUAUCAUUAGUUACCAGCGAGUCAUGUCGGGGACUCUAAUGAGACUGCCGGUGACAAACCGGAGGAAGGUGGGGAUGACGUCAAGUCCUCAUGGCCCUUAUGGGUAGGGCUUCACACGUCAUACAAUGGUCGGUACAGAGGGUUGCCAAGCCGCGAGGCGGAGCCAAUCCCACAAAGCCGAUCGUAGUCCGGAUUGUUCUCUGCAACUCGAGAGCAUGAAGUCGGAAUCGCUAGUAAUCGCAGGUCAGCAUACUGCGGUGAAUACGUUCCCGGGUCUU
Molecule: ribosomal RNA, 468 nt
Filed under: uncultured Thiobacillus sp.
Lineage: Bacteria; Pseudomonadati; Pseudomonadota; Betaproteobacteria; Nitrosomonadales; Thiobacillaceae
Description: bacterial SSU rRNA
Rfam family: Bacterial small subunit ribosomal RNA
Source: RNAcentral